RNAcentral lists this ribosomal RNA (301 nucleotides) under uncultured bacterium. Its description in RNAcentral is "partial 16S ribosomal RNA". It matches the Rfam family "Bacterial small subunit ribosomal RNA", at positions 509 to 807 of the family's 1533-position model. The record is from RNAcentral.
CAGUCGCCGCGGUAAAACGUAGGGUGCAAGCGUUGUCCGGAAUUAUUGGGCGUAAAGAGCUCGUAGGCGGUUUGUCGCGUCUGCUGUGAAAUCCCGAGGCUCAACCUCGGGCUUGCAGUGGGUACGGGCAGACUAGAGUGCGGUAGGGGAGAUUGGAAUUCCUGGUGUAGCGGUGGAAUGCGCAGAUAUCAGGAGGAACACCGAUGGCGAAGGCAGAUCUCUGGGCCGUAACUGACGCUGAGGAGCGAAAGCGUGGGGAGCGAACAGGAUUAGAUACCCCAGUAGUCCCUGUCUCUUAUAC